UCAAACUUGGUCAUUUAGAGGAAGUAAAAGUCGUAACAAGGUUUCCGUAGGUGAACCUGCGGAAGGAUCAUUAUUGGUACUGGGUCUUUUGGGCCCGACCUCCAACCCUGUGUCUACUCACCUUUGUUGCUUUGGCGAGUAUGUCCUAAGGACCGUCGAGGGUGGCUUUGCCCCCUACUCGCCGAUAGCCUAAUGGUUACACUCUUGAAAAUGAAUGUCUGAGUUUGAAAAAAUGAAAUCGAAAACUUUCAACAAUGGAUCUCUUGGUUCUGGCAUCGAUGAAGAACGCAGC
This 292-nucleotide unclassified non-coding RNA is filed under the name uncultured fungus. RNAcentral describes it as "partial contains small subunit ribosomal RNA, internal transcribed spacer 1, and 5.8S ribosomal RNA". The stretch from base 1 to 73 matches the Rfam family "Eukaryotic small subunit ribosomal RNA", at positions 1759 to 1831 of the family's 1831-position model. Lineage: Eukaryota; Fungi. The record is from RNAcentral.